RNAcentral lists this ribosomal RNA (497 nucleotides) under uncultured bacterium. RNAcentral describes it as "partial 16S ribosomal RNA". It matches the Rfam family "Bacterial small subunit ribosomal RNA", at positions 28 to 507 of the family's 1533-position model. The record is from RNAcentral.
GACGAACGCUGGCGGCGUGCCUGAUACAUGCAAGUAGAACGCUGAAGAGAGGAGCUUGCUCUUCUUGGAUGAGUUGCGAACGGGUGAGUAACGCGUAGGUAACCUGCCUGGUAGCGGGGGAUAACUAUUGGAAACGAUAGCUAAUACCGCAUAACAACAGUUGUUGCAUGACAGCUGUUUAAAAGAUGCAAUUGCAUCACUACCAGAUGGACCUGCGUUGUAUUAGCUAGUUGGUGAGGUAACGGCUCACCAAGGCGACGAUACAUAGCCGACCUGAGAGGGGGAUCGGCCACACUGGGACUGAGACACGGCCCAGACUCCUACGGGAGGCAGCAGUAGGGAAUCUUCGGCAAUGGGGGGAACCCUGACCGAGCAACGCCGCGUGAGUGAAGAAGGGUUUCGGAUCGUAAAGCUCUGUUGUAAGAGAAGAACGGGUGUGAGAGUGGAAAGUUCACACUGUGACGGUAGCUUACCAGAAAGGGACGGCUAACUACGUG